AGUGAACGCUGGCGGUAGGCCUAACACAUGCAAGUCGAACGGCAGCACAGUAAGAGCUUGCUCUUACGGGUGGCGAGUGGCGGACGGGUGAGGAAUACAUCGGAAUCUACUUUUUCGUGGGGGAUAACGUAGGGAAACUUACGCUAAUACCGCAUACGACCUACGGGUGAAAGCAGGGGAUCUUCGGACCUUGCGCGAUUGAAUGAGCCGAUGUCGGAUUAGCUAGUUGGCGGGGUAAAGGCCCACCAAGGCGACAAUCCGUAGCUGGUCUGAGAGGAUGAUCGGCCACACUGGAACUGAGACACGGUCCAGACUCCUACGGGAGGCAGCAGUGGGGAAUAUUGGACAAUGGGCGCAAGCCUGAUCCAGCCAUACCGCGUGGGUGAAGAAGGCCUUCGGGUUGUAAAGCCCUUUUGUUGGGAAGGAAAAGCAGCAGGUUAAUACCCCGCUGUUCUGACGGUACCCAAAGAAUAAGCACCGGCUAACUUCGUG
Molecule: ribosomal RNA, 492 nt
Filed under: uncultured bacterium
Lineage: Bacteria
Description: partial 16S ribosomal RNA
Rfam family: Bacterial small subunit ribosomal RNA
Source: RNAcentral